Molecule: transfer RNA, 87 nt
Filed under: Thermanaerosceptrum fracticalcis
Lineage: Bacteria; Bacillati; Bacillota; Clostridia; Eubacteriales; Peptococcaceae
Description: Thermoanaerosceptrum fracticalcis tRNA-Leu
Rfam family: tRNA
About the family: Transfer RNA (tRNA) molecules are approximately 80 nucleotides in length.
Source: RNAcentral
GCGGCUGUGGCGGAAUUGGCAGACGCGCUAGAUUCAGGUUCUAGUGGGUGCAAGCCCGUGGGAGUUCAAGUCUCUUCAGCCGCACCA